GAACUUUUAAGACGAUUACAAUGGAACUAAAAGUGUUUUUCCUAGUGUUCCUGCUAGCUAUUCUUAAUCCCUCGGUUAUUGCCUUUAAUAAAAAGAAAUGUAGUGCUCCAGGUCCCCAGGAUGGCAAGUGCAGAGGUAGAAAUGGAAUGGCGUGGACAUUUGUAAAUCCAAAGUGCUGGCCAUUCACAUAUAGGGGAUGUAUAAGGAAUAAAGAAAACGUAUAUAAGACACGAGCCGAAUGUGAGAAGACUUGCCUCUAAAAAAUUACCAAGGCAGUGUAAGGCCCCAGGACC
Molecule: long non-coding RNA, 293 nt
Organism: Drosophila takahashii
Lineage: Eukaryota; Metazoa; Arthropoda; Insecta; Diptera; Drosophilidae
Source: RefSeq, a predicted model, not a curated record